Molecule: transfer-messenger RNA, 396 nt
Filed under: Flavobacterium sp.
Lineage: Bacteria; Pseudomonadati; Bacteroidota; Flavobacteriia; Flavobacteriales; Flavobacteriaceae
Also listed under: 1 other name
Rfam family: transfer-messenger RNA
About the family: Bacterial tmRNA, also known as 10Sa RNA or SsrA, is named for its dual tRNA and mRNA-like properties. Its role is to liberate the mRNA from a stalled ribosome.
Source: RNAcentral
GGGGUCGACUGGUUUUGACAGCGAGUGGAAUUGAUUAGUAAGCACGUCGAGCCAAGUAUGGUAGGCUCGUAAAUAUCUGCUAUACAACUUUUAAACGGCGAAAAUAAUUACGCUUUAGCUGCUUAAUCUGAAUUAUAGUAAGAUUUGCCUAGUUCCGACAAGGUUGGAAAGCUAGAUUCACCUCGAAUCCUUGGUUUAUGGAGUUUGAUUCAGGUGAACCGUAAAAGUAAACCUAGGAAAGGUAAAGCUUUAAAUCCUUUCUGACAAUUAUAAAGCUAAGCAAAAAGUGGCUGUUUUGGUCUAGCUUUUUGUCGAAAAUUUAAACAGAAACUAAACGCGUAGAAAGCUCUUCGAUUGCUUGUUUGGACGAGAGUUCGAUUCUCUCCGACUCCACAG